This is a long non-coding RNA of Oncorhynchus keta (chum salmon), 984 nucleotides long. RefSeq lists it as uncharacterized. The transcript is spliced from 3 exons. NCBI's taxonomy places the organism in Eukaryota, Metazoa, Chordata, Actinopteri, Salmoniformes, Salmonidae. The record is from RefSeq and is a predicted model, not a curated record.
GCUGUACAUCACCGGCGCAUACCCCUGAAACACACACAGUUACGCAAGCUUCCACACACACACACACACUAACUACACUCUGAGAUGAGAAGGAUCAAAACCAGAGUGGAAUAUACCAUCGGCGCCACAGGGUACUGGUUAGGUGGCCCACUCUACUGUUAGUGGUCAGAGGGGACACAGGGUACUGGUUAGGUGGCCCACUACUGUUAGUGGUCAGAGGAGAAACAGGGUACUGGUUAGGUGGCCCACUCUACUGUUAGUGGUCAGAGGAGACACAGGGUACUGGUUAGGUGGCCCACUCUACUGUUAGUGGUCAGAGGAGACACGGGGUACUGGUUAGGUGGCCCACUCUACUGUUAGUGGUCAGAGGAGACACAGGGUACUGGUUAGGUGGCCCACUCUACUGUUAGUGGUCAGAGGAGACACAGGGUACUGGUUAGGUGGCCCACUCUACUGUUAGUGGUCAGAGGAGAAACAGGGUACUGGUUAGGUGGCCCACUCUACUGUUAGUGGUCAGAGGAGAAACAGGGUACUGGUUAGGUGGCCCACUCUCCUGUUAGUGGUCAGAGGAGAAACAGGGUACUGGUUAGGUGGCCCACUCUACUGUUAGUGGUCAGAGGAGAAACAGGGUACUGGUUAGGUGGCCCACUACUGUUAGUGGUCAGAGGAGAGGCACAGUUAGAUUGUAGAACAGAGGGAAGAGGAGUAGGGGCUGAUUUGUAGAGUUGUGUAGAAUAGGGUUGACUAGCAUAGAGUGGAAUAGAACAGAGUACACUCUUAGAAAAAAAAUGUACUAUGUAGAACCUUGAAGGGUUCUUUGACUGUACCCAUAGGAUAAUCCUUUUUGGUUCCAGGUAGAACCCUUCCUACAGAGGGUUAUACAUGGAAUGCAAAAGGGUUCUACCCGAAACCAAAAAGGGCUCUUGUAUGGGGACAGCCGAAGAACCCUUUUGGAACCCCUUUUUUCGAAGAUUGUAGAGUAUA